This 29-nucleotide non-coding RNA is filed under the name Rattus norvegicus (Norway rat). Lineage: Eukaryota; Metazoa; Chordata; Mammalia; Rodentia; Muridae. The record is from RNAcentral.
UCCUCAACACUGCACAGCAUCCUGGAUGA